UUUCCGUAGGUGAACCUGCGGAAGGAUCAUUAUUGUAUAACCGAGGUGCGAGGGCUGUCGCUGACCCGAAAGGUCGUGCACGCCCGAGUGCCCUCACACACAUCCAUCUCACCCCUAUGUGCACCACCGCGUGGGUCCCCCUUUGGCUUGUUCGGAGGGGGGCUUACGUUUUCACACAAACUUAGUAUGCAGUGUAGAAUGUAUUUUUUGUUUUUGCGAUCACGCAAUCAAUACAACUUUCAACAACGGAUCUCUUGGCUCUC
RNAcentral lists this unclassified non-coding RNA (263 nucleotides) under plant metagenome. Its description in RNAcentral is "partial contains small subunit ribosomal RNA, internal transcribed spacer 1, and 5.8S ribosomal RNA". The record is from RNAcentral.